UACGGAGGGUGCGAGCGUUGUCCGGAUUUAUUGGGCGUAAAGAGCGUGUAGGCGGCUUUACAGGUCCGUUGUGAAAACUCGAGGCUCAACCUCGAGACGCCGGUGGAAACCGUAAGGCUAGAGUCCGGAAGAGGAGAGUGGAAUUCCUGGUGUAGCGGUGAAAUGCGCAGAUAUCAGGAGGAACACCCGUGGCGAAAGCGGCUCUCUGGGACGGUACUGACGCUGAGGUGCGAAAGCGUGGGGAGCAAACAGG
RNAcentral lists this ribosomal RNA (253 nucleotides) under uncultured bacterium. RNAcentral describes it as "partial 16S ribosomal RNA". It matches the Rfam family "Bacterial small subunit ribosomal RNA", at positions 524 to 776 of the family's 1533-position model. The record is from RNAcentral.